RNAcentral lists this long non-coding RNA (1566 nucleotides) under Homo sapiens (human). Its description in RNAcentral is "HSALNT0371056". The record is from RNAcentral. Lineage: Eukaryota; Metazoa; Chordata; Mammalia; Primates; Hominidae.
CGGGCCGGAGGCGGGCGCGCGGGGCCCGGGGAGAUGGCUGGGGUCUGGGGGGCCGAGGGUGUGUGUGGACGCUGGGAGCCGCGGGGGGAGGCCGGCGUCGACUCAGAGGAGUUGCAAUCGAGGUCCGGGAGUGGCGGCGGCCAAUCAGCGCGCGGCUUCCAUUUUACACGAAGGAGAGGCCAACAGAUGAGGGAAGCCAUUUUUCUGCAAUGGAAUUAAAUGGCCAAGCCCAAGGACUCACAGUUGGAAGACUGGAGAAGACUUUUUAAAAAGAUCUGGAUUUUUCCUUAUGACUUGGAAUCCAUCUUUGUCUUGUAUAACUAGGUCAUAGCACACCAUUCAUGUCAGCAGUUAACAGUUUUGAAUUCCAAAAAAACCUAAAGCAGUAAACAGUCCUCAGCGAAGCCGCCUUUUUGCCUACCCAACCCUGGAAAGUUUGCAGAAGUGGAAGGAGCAGAACGUGAGGGUGUAACUUACAAAAAGGUUCUGGGCCGGAGAAGGGGCGACGUUCGGGCACCCCCCGAAUGGACAAUCUUUCCUUCUGUCAACGGCAGGGGCAGGCCUAGUUUGACUCUGACAGUCCUCCCACUAAGGAAUUCCUGGUGACUGGAAGGGGGAGUGACUCAGGCCCUCAACCUCUAGCAGGUAAGGGAGCUACCUCCUGGGUGGGCAUGCCCAGUUCCUCAGUGGGCCCAGCGCGGCCCAGCCUCCGAGGAAGCUCUGAGCAGCUGGCUUGGCUCCGAGGUAUUUUUAGCUACAGAUCCAGCCCCCCUCCAUCACCACAACAGUCGAGUCCAAAUCAAACGCGCUCCAGGCAGGUGGGGCUGGGGUUCUGCCAGCCUCCUGGCCAGCAGGGGUGGGUGGGCAGACUGGGGCCAGUAUCAGCUGUUCUGCCUGGACCCAGGCCGGGCUGGGAAGGCACACUUGUGCUUAUUUCCCGCCUCCACUUCUGUGCAAGCUUGUGCUGUCAUAAGCAGAGAUCACAGCCCCAUUUCUUGGAUGGAGAAAGUGGACACUGAGGUCUGAGGCUUUUGAGGACAGUCAGGAGCCCUCCUAUGGGCUCCAGUGAUGCACUCACCAGCUUCUGGUCCUCUUCUUCCACCUCUUAGAGUGCCUUGGCUCCCUCCUGUCGUCCUGGGGAACCUCGGCCCCAGCCCUGCCUCCCCAGCCAGUCACAGCUCCUCCCUGGUCACCCUGAGGGAGCUCAGGGCCCGGCUGGUAGCUGGGUUGCUCUGCUUCUGUCCCCCACUCCUGUGGAGCCUGGCAGGCAACUCCAUGAUCUGACCCCGGUUACCUUGACAGCCCUGCCUGGCCUCCCCUCUCAUGGCCCAGCCACCCCAGAACCUGAAGAGGUUUUCUAGCUGCCGUGCAUUUGCCAGGCUGGGUUACCCACCCUACUUUCCCUGCCUGCCCUCCAGUGCUGCCAGGCCUAGUGUGCCAGCCAGCGCUCAGCCUUCAGUAAAGGGUUCCCCUGCUUCCAACCUCCAUUGCACUGCUUCCCCUAAGACUGUGACCUCCUGGAAGGCUGGAGCACAACUGCCUCUCAAUAAACGUGUUGCAAAAAAG